UAAUACGAAGGGUGCAAGCGUUGUUCGGAUUUAUUGGGCGUAAAGCGCGCGUAGGCGGACCUGUAAGUCAGAUGUGAAAUCUCGGUGCUCAACACCGAAACUGCGUCUGAAACUGCGGGUCUUGAAUCUUAGAGGGGGAGUGGGAAUUUCGCAUGUAGGGGUAAAAUCCGUAGAGAUGCGAAGGAACACCAGAGGCGAAGGCGCACUCCUGGACAAGUAUUGACGCUGAGGCGCGAAAGCGUGGGGAUCAAACAGG
This 256-nucleotide ribosomal RNA is filed under the name uncultured bacterium. RNAcentral's name for it is "partial 16S ribosomal RNA". It matches the Rfam family "Bacterial small subunit ribosomal RNA", at positions 521 to 776 of the family's 1533-position model. The record is from RNAcentral.